CCCACCCCACACACACACAACCUUGUCAUGAGGUUAAAUGAGUUAAUACGCACAGAUGCCUGAAUCAGGACUGACACUUGGAUCUCAGCACCCUUCACCUCCUCCUCCUCCUCCUCGUCAUCAUCACCGUCAUUGUUAGCGGCCCUCAUCCAUUCGUUCGGCGGACACACUGUGCUCCUGCAUGGCCCUGAUGUGGGCAGCGAGGCCGGCGAACUGGGAGGCUCCGCACAGGACUCACCCUGCCUGCUGGGACCGCAUGGACAAGACCUGUGCAGUGACACAGAGGCCCCGGAGAGGCUGGAUCCUCCGGUCAUGGGAGGCGUGGGGCCUCAGCAUCAGAGGUGGAGGGAGAGCUGGGUUCAUCCAGGAGGGUGCAGCCUUUCACUCAAAGUGGGGAAGAACCCCAUGUGGCACCCGGUGUCUGGGAGGCUCCGCUUGCCCUGGCAGGCUGCGGGCACAGCACAGAUGACCAGGAGUCUGCAUUUCAGGGGCUGAGGCUGGCGCUGAGUAAAUGUGUUUGGCCCACUGAGGAUUUUUCUUAAAACCAUCCUAAGUGACUUUGGCUCCAUUGCUUUUGCCAAAUACCUACAGUGAUACCAAGAACUUUGUACACUCUGAGGGUGGUGACUGGACGUGGAGCCCAGCACAGACCCAAGUCAGUCCUGCCCUGAGUACCACAGGCUGGCCACACCAUCCCCUUCCAUGGCCUGGCUUUCUUCUGCCAGGAUCCCCAGGAUGGUGAAAAGGCAAGUGUGGCCUCAAGCUGGGGGCCCAGCAUGGGCUCUAAGUCCCUGGGGGUCCCCUUGGGAAGUCUGGUGGACCGUAGUCCCCACUGCCAUCGGGCAGCUCUGUCUCGGGAAUGUCGUGUUUCUUUGCUUUUUGUUAUGAUGCAGCACCCCAGUUAUCUCAGGGCAACUGGGGAGUCUGCUGGUGCUGCAUGCGCCCACCUUAGACGGGGAAACAUUAUUGCUACAUUGAUGCUGCUCAUUGAUACUGGGAAUCUGUUAAACAGAAAUGGCAAGGGAACAGAGAAAACAGAAAAGAAAAAUAGAGAGUUGCUGGGUCACUUCAGGUCUCACCUGUGAUUAAGAGUGUGUGCAGCCAGCACGUGAACCCGGUUCCACACCCACCAGCUACCAGGGCCAGGCGCUGAUUUUAGACCCCAGACUCACUAAGGAGUCAUUGACAGAUACAGUUUAUGUGUAUUUCAAGUCUACUUUGUGAUGACUUGAUGCCCACAGACGUCGUGGAAUGAUUGCCCCACAUACGCAUCGCCUCACACAGUUAACUGUGUGUGUGUGUGUGUGUGUGUACAUGUGUGUGGUGAGGAUGCUUUGGUCUCUCAACACCUCUCAAGCACGCAAUACCAUAUUAUUAACUAUGGUCACCCUGCUGUUCGUUAGGUCCUCAGAACUUGAUCUUAUAACUGAAAGUUGGUCCUUCUCACCUACAUCUCCCCAUCCCCUGACCCAACACCUGGCAACCACUGCUCUAUUCCAUGCCUGUGAAAUCGGCUUUUAUUGAUUCUACACAUAAGUGAUACCAUACAAUACUGUCGCUCUGUCUGACUAGUUUCACUGAGCAGACUAUCCUCCAGGUUUGUCUAUGUUGUCACAAAUGGCGGGAUUGCCUUCUUUAUAUGGCUGGAUAAUCCCCAUUGUAUCUAUCUACCACACCUUCCUGAUCUGCUCACCCACUGAACGACACUUAGACGUCUCUGUAUCUUGGCUGUCCUGAGUAAGGCUGCAGAGAAUGUGGAGUGCGCUUGUCUCUCGAGAUCCUGAUGUCAUUGUCUUGGGCUGGCUACCCAGAAGCGAGAUGGCUGGGUCAGAUGGUGGCUCUCGUUUUAAUUUUCUGAGGAACCUAGGCGGUGACUUCAUCUCUCCAAACCUCAGUGUCCCCAUCCAUGAAGGAGCAGUGGUCCUGACUUCCCCAUCAAGCUCAUUGCGUUACGAGCCCAGGCUUGUUCUGCUCGCCACAGGACAGGCCAAUAAAUGAUGAGAUGAGUUGCUGGAACAAGGAAUAACGACUUUAACCAGAAAGCUAGUAAACCGAGAACGCCAGACUAGUGUCUCAAAAACCAUCUUUCCUCAGUCCAAAUUCGGGCUCCGUUUAUAUAGAAGAGGGAGGUAGUGGGGCCACUAUGGCACUGACCAAUGGCUGAGCAAGAUCACUAAUGAUCACUGGCUUGGGGCGGGGCUUAUCGUGGCACUGACCAAUGGCUGAGCAGGACCACUAACGAUUGCUGGUCAACAGUUGCUCACUAAUGGCCGCUCACUUGGGGCGGGGCUUACCAUGGCACUGACCAAUGGCUGAGCAGGACCACUAACGGUCGCUGGUGGACAGUUGCUCACUAACGGUCACUUGCUUGGGGAAAGGGCCCGUUGUGGUGCCAGCCAGUGGCUGAGAGGGGCGCGAUAGCUCAAGCCUGCCUUGCUGCCACUGCACCGGGCAGAAAGAUGUGACACCAGAAAGCUUCCAGGUCUGAGGAAGUGCCAGCCGCUCCAGCAAGGUCGUCGCCCGGCUCUCGGCAGAGAGGGCCACAGGCAGCAAGAGCGCGGUGGCCACCCUGGGACUGGGAUCACUGUCUGAGAUGGUGGGCACAGUGGGCUCAGCCUGCCUCUGGCCCCACCAGUCAGCUCGUACACCGAUGAGAUGGCCCUGGGCGGGGCCCCGCCCUCCCGCCCGCUCGCACAGUGAGUGGACGGAGGGAGCGGCCGUCCUGGUGGGCUAGGGGCAGAAGUACAGGCAGGCGGCCCCUGCCUCAGUGGUGUGCGGCCCCGGCGCCAAGGAGGGCCGAGGAACACCCAUCACGCGCCAGGUUCGGGCUGUGCUGGGGUGGCAGGGAGAGGUGGCUGUUUCCACUGGAGUGGGUCCUCAAAGUUCUUAUCAUAGCUUGUGUGGUUCCUGGCUGAACAGCACUCAGUGACCCUCUGCUGCCUGAUCCUGUCAUUCAGACCCGCUGGACCAGAGAGAGUGACUGUGCAAGUUCGCAGCAGCUUAGUCAGGGUGAUGGACUUGCACACAGGCCGGUCUCGAGCCCACUCACAUUAAGAUAAAGGCAGUGCAGAC
Bos grunniens (domestic yak) is the source of this 3072-nucleotide long non-coding RNA. Lineage: Eukaryota; Metazoa; Chordata; Mammalia; Artiodactyla; Bovidae. The record is from Ensembl.